RNAcentral lists this ribosomal RNA (529 nucleotides) under uncultured eukaryote. RNAcentral's name for it is "SSU rRNA". It matches the Rfam family "Eukaryotic small subunit ribosomal RNA", at positions 202 to 731 of the family's 1831-position model. The record is from RNAcentral.
UGUAUUUAUUAGAUAAAAAACCAAUGCCCUUCGGGGCUUUUUGGUGAUUCAUGAUAACUUUACGGAUCGCAUAGCCUUGCGCUGGCGACGGUUCAUUCAAAUUUCUGCCCUAUCAACUUUCGAUGGUAAGGUAUUGGCUUACCAUGGUUUCAACGGGUAACGGGGAAUUAGGGUUCGAUUCCGGAGAGGGAGCCUGAGAAACGGCUACCACAUCCAAGGAAGGCAGCAGGCGCGCAAAUUACCCAAUCCCGACACGGGGAGGUAGUGACAAUAAAUACUGAUACAGGGCUCUUUUGGGUCUUGUAAUUGGAAUGAGUACAAUUUAAACCUCUUAACGAGGAACAAUUGGAGGGCAAGUCUGGUGCCAGCAGCCGCGGUAAUUCCAGCUCCAAUAGCGUAUAUUAAAGUUGUUGCAGUUAAAAAGCUCGUAGUUGAAACUUGGGCCUGGCUGGCGGGUCCGCCUCACCGCGUGCACUCGUCCGGCCGGGCCUUCCUUCUGAAGAACCUCAUGCCCUUCACUGGGCGUGCU